Molecule: ribosomal RNA, 2024 nt
Filed under: Staphylococcus aureus
Lineage: Bacteria; Bacillati; Bacillota; Bacilli; Caryophanales; Staphylococcaceae
Description: partial 23S ribosomal RNA
Rfam family: Bacterial large subunit ribosomal RNA
Source: RNAcentral
AGAUUAAGUUAUUAAGGGCGCACGGUGGAUGCCUUGGCACUAGAAGCCGAUGAAGGACGUUACUAACGACGAUAUGCUUUGGGGAGCUGUAAGUAAGCUUUGAUCCAGAGAUUUCCGAAUGGGGAAACCCAGCAUGAGUUAUGUCAUGUUAUCGAUAUGUGAAUACAUAGCAUAUCAGAAGGCACACCCGGAGAACUGAAACAUCUUAGUACCCGGAGGAAGAGAAAGAAAAUUCGAUUCCCUUAGUAGCGGCGAGCGAAACGGGAAGAGCCCAAACCAACAAGCUUGCUUGUUGGGGUUGUAGGACACUCUAUACGGAGUUACAAAGGACGACAUUAGACGAAUCAUCUGGAAAGAUGAAUCAAAGAAGGUAAUAAUCCUGUAGUCGAAAAUGUUGUCUCUCUUGAGUGGAUCCUGAGUACGACGGAGCACGUGAAAUUCCGUCGGAAUCUGGGAGGACCAUCUCCUAAGGCUAAAUACUCUCUAGUGACCGAUAGUGAACCAGUACCGUGAGGGAAAGGUGAAAAGCACCCCGGAAGGGGAGUGAAAUAGAACCUGAAACCGUGUGCUUACAAGUAGUCAGAGCCCGUUAAUGGGUGAUGGCGUGCCUUUUGUAGAAUGAACCGGCGAGUUACGAUUUGAUGCAAGGUUAAGCAGUAAAUGUGGAGCCGUAGCGAAAGCGAGUCUGAAUAGGGCGUUUAGUAUUUGGUCGUAGACCCGAAACCAGGUGAUCUACCCUUGGUCAGGUUGAAGUUCAGGUAACACUGAAUGGAGGACCGAACCGACUUACGUUGAAAAGUGAGCGGAUGAACUGAGGGUAGCGGAGAAAUUCCAAUCGAACCUGGAGAUAGCUGGUUCUCUCCGAAAUAGCUUUAGGGCUAGCCUCAAGUGAUGAUUAUUGGAGGUAGAGCACUGUUUGGACGAGGGGCCCCUCUCGGGUUACCGAAUUCAGACAAACUCCGAAUGCCAAUUAAUUUAACUUGGGAGUCAGAACAUGGGUGAUAAGGUCCGUGUUCGAAAGGGAAACAGCCCAGACCACCAGCUAAGGUCCCAAAAUAUAUGUUAAGUGGAAAAGGAUGUGGCGUUGCCCAGACAACUAGGAUGUUGGCUUAGAAGCAGCCAUCAUUUAAAGAGUGCGUAAUAGCUCACUAGUCGAGUGACACUGCGCCGAAAAUGUACCGGGGCUAAACAUAUUACCGAAGCUGUGGAUUGUCCUUUGGACAAUGGUAGGAGAGCGUUCUAAGGGCGUUGAAGCAUGAUCGUAAGGACAUGUGGAGCGCUUAGAAGUGAGAAUGCCGGUGUGAGUAGCGAAAGACGGGUGAGAAUCCCGUCCACCGAUUGACUAAGGUUUCCAGAGGAAGGCUCGUCCGCUCUGGGUUAGUCGGGUCCUAAGCUGAGGCCGACAGGCGUAGGCGAUGGAUAACAGGUUGAUAUUCCUGUACCACCUAUAAUCGUUUUAAUCGAUGGGGGGACGCAGUAGGAUAGGCGAAGCGUGCGAUUGGAUUGCACGUCUAAGCAGUAAGGCUGAGUAUUAGGCAAAUCCGGUACUCGUUAAGGCUGAGCUGUGAUGGGGAGAAGACAUUGUGUCUUCGAGUCGUUGAUUUCACACUGCCGAGAAAAGCCUCUAGAUAGAAAAUAGGUGCCCGUACCGCAAACCGACACAGGUAGUCAAGAUGAGAAUUCUAAGGUGAGCGAGCGAACUCUCGUUAAGGAACUCGGCAAAAUGACCCCGUAACUUCGGGAGAAGGGGUGCUCUUUAGGGUUAACGCCCAGAAGAGCCGCAGUGAAUAGGCCCAAGCGACUGUUUAUCAAAAACACAGGUCUCUGCUAAACCGUAAGGUGAUGUAUAGGGGCUGACGCCUGCCCGGUGCUGGAAGGUUAAGAGGAGUGGUUAGCUUCUGCGAAGCUACGAAUCGAAGCCCCAGUAAACGGCGGCCGUAACUAUAACGGUCCUAAGGUAGCGAAAUUCCUUGUCGGGUAAGUUCCGACCCGCACGAAAGGCGUAACGAUUUGGGCACUGUCUC